UUUACAUUCGUCUCUCGUCUUCUGAUUUCGGUAAGAAGAAGGAUAAGAAGGUGUAUAUCAUUAUUCCGGUGGUGGUUGGUUUAGCGUGCAUAUCGGCUAUGAUCUUUGUUGCUUGGUGUUGGAUGGUGAAGAGAAAAGGACAAAAACCAGAACACAAAAAGGUGUUCCAAGCAGAGCAAACAUUUCCAUCAGAUUCAACUGCAAUAGUACUGAAGCAGGAAUCAGAGGUGGACAG
Long non-coding RNA from Salvia splendens (bonfire salvia), 235 nucleotides. RefSeq lists it as uncharacterized. The record is from RefSeq and is a predicted model, not a curated record. Lineage: Eukaryota; Viridiplantae; Streptophyta; Magnoliopsida; Lamiales; Lamiaceae. The transcript is spliced from 3 exons.